RNAcentral lists this long non-coding RNA (1061 nucleotides) under Anser brachyrhynchus (Pink-footed goose). Its description in RNAcentral is "lncRNA (ENSABRG00000004587.1)". The record is from RNAcentral. Lineage: Eukaryota; Metazoa; Chordata; Aves; Anseriformes; Anatidae.
ACUAGGCAGCCCAGGUGACCUCCAUUUAGGCAGGUGACUCCUACCCCCAUUUCACUCAGGCAGCUGCAGUUAAGAAGUGCCACUCCGAAAGUGAGUAGCAUCGAUAGUGGUACUGACUCUGCCUGCCCUCUUGUAACUGAGGCCCCUUGAAAGGUUAUUUUGGGGCACCCAGGAACAGCUUAAAUUUGCUCCUCCUGGUCUAUAGCAGCUUCCCCUGGCUGGCACUGAGGCCUGUCUGCUGCUGCUAUUGGAAAUGCAGUUUGCAUCUCACCACAUCAAUAAAGUUAUCCAGAUUUGCUGUUUGUAAACUGCAGAGUACCUGACACCAGCCUACCCCUAAGAGGACAGAGGCCCUCAGAGCAGGAAGUGUCAGGGUUCGCCUGCAUCAUUUGCUAUGACAGCCAAACAGCCCUUUUCAAGACCAGACUUGCUUAUUCGGGAAGGAGGAAAACGUCCAUUGUGGUUUCCAGUUUGGUGAUCUCUGAAGCACAUAUGCAUAAUCAAGCAUGCCCAGAAUGCCAGAAAAAUAGUAACUGAGACAAGCAGUGGCUACCCCAGCGAGCCUGUGGAUAGAACAGUAUGUAUAAGGUUCAGUUACUAGAACCAGGCCAACCUGUAACAGCAUUUCAAAUAGCUGGUUGUUCUCCUUACCAUUUCAAAUUUCUCUAACUUCCUUCUUUCACGUGCUCUAUCACAGUUCUCUCUCAGGCCUGCACAAGCCCUCUCUGUCCUUCCCAGAGGGUGAUGCCCUUGCUUCUCCAGGGUUUUGUCUUGCUGGCAAGGUACAUGCUGGGCCUCCCCAGACACGUGCUCUGAAUCAAGAGCCACAGAACUGAAGAGGCUGAAAUUCAGCAAGCCUGUUAUAAACUGGGAAAAUGGAGGGGGGAGCUGUUCUUUGGCGACGUGAUUUUGAACAUGGAAAAGGAAAGUUGAGAUUUGUUUAAAGGUUUCAAGGAGGGAAUUGUUGAUGAAUUAUGAUAAUAAUGGGAAACAAAUCUUGGCCAUUUGGGGUACAUAUGGGAUGUGUGCAAUAAAUAAAGGAAAAUGAAUGCUUGUGAUCA